RNAcentral lists this ribosomal RNA (208 nucleotides) under Clostridioides difficile. Its description in RNAcentral is "partial 16S ribosomal RNA". It matches the Rfam family "Bacterial small subunit ribosomal RNA", at positions 669 to 877 of the family's 1533-position model. Lineage: Bacteria; Bacillati; Bacillota; Clostridia; Peptostreptococcales; Peptostreptococcaceae. The record is from RNAcentral.
CCUAGUGUAGCGGUGAAAUGCGUAGAUAUUAGGAGGAACACCAGUUGCGAAGGCGGCUCUCUGGACUGUAACUGACGCUGGGGCACGAAAGCGUGGGGAGCAAACAGGAUUAGAUACCCUGGUAGUCCACGCUGUAAACGAUGAGUACUAGGUGUCGGGGGUUACCCCCCUCGGUGCCGCAGCUAACGCAUUAAGUACUCCGCCUGGG